Molecule: long non-coding RNA, 456 nt
Filed under: Phaseolus vulgaris (common bean)
Lineage: Eukaryota; Viridiplantae; Streptophyta; Magnoliopsida; Fabales; Fabaceae
Description: long non-coding RNA (PVUL_LNC005054)
Source: RNAcentral
CGAAUGUUCGGGGCUAUAGGCGGAGCAUACCGAACGGUACACAGUCCCCCAACCUCAAGCCGAGCAGAGCGACGCGAAAAGGUUUUGUCAGCAGCAAGGCGAAAGAGUGUUGUUAGCGGUGAGGCAAAAGAGUGUUGUCAAUGACAAGACUUUGGCCCAGAGGGUAGGAGGCGCAUGGGUUUCGAAGCGACUCUUGAUGGGAUGACCAUUUUUGAGACGUACAUGUGGCUUGACAUCAAGGUUAAUAUUUCAUGACGUUUUCACUUCCUAUAUUUUUUUAUAAGUAACACUCUUCCAUUCCCAUUUUAUUUUUGCGCCUUACUUACAAAAAAGAAAGACAUCACCCCCUGUGAUAGUUCCUCUUCAUUUCUUCUUCAUUUCUUCUGCAUAAUUGGAUAUCGGGUAUGUGAAAUCCACCUCCUAUAAUGUUUUACCUGGGUUUAUACUAUGUUUGAG